ACUGGGUGUAGGGGGGCACACCUGUAAUCCCAGAAACUAUGGAGGCUGAGGCAGGAGGACUGCAAAUUUGAGGCCCACCUUGGCAAUUUAGCUAGACCCUGUCUCAA
Molecule: small RNA, 107 nt
Filed under: Marmota monax (woodchuck)
Lineage: Eukaryota; Metazoa; Chordata; Mammalia; Rodentia; Sciuridae
Source: RNAcentral